This 253-nucleotide ribosomal RNA is filed under the name uncultured bacterium. RNAcentral's name for it is "partial 16S ribosomal RNA". It matches the Rfam family "Bacterial small subunit ribosomal RNA", at positions 524 to 776 of the family's 1533-position model. The record is from RNAcentral.
UACGUAGGGGCCUAGCGUUGUCCGGAAUUAUUGGGCGUAAAGAGCGUGUAGGCGGCUAGAUAGGUCCGUUGUGAAAACUCGAGGCUCAACCUCGAGACGUCGAUGGAAACCAUCUGGCUAGAGUCCGGAAGAGGAGAGUGGAAUUCCUGGUGUAGCGGUGAAAUGCGCAGAUAUCAGGAAGAACACCCGUGGCGAAGGCGGCUCUCUGGUACGUGACUGACGCUGAGACGCGAAAGCGUGGGGAGCAAACAGG